CUAUACAUGCAGUCGAGCGAACAGACGAGGAGCUUGCUCCUCUGACGUUAGCGGCGGACGGGUGAGUAACACGUGGAUAACCUACCUAUAAGACUGGGAUAACUUCGGGAAACCGGAGCUAAUACCGGAUAAUAUAUUGAACCGCAUGGUUCAAUAGUGAAAGACGGUUUUGCUGUCACUUAUAGAUGGAUCCGCGCCGCAUUAGCUAGUUGGUAAGGUAACGGCUUACCAAGGCAACGAUGCGUAGCCGACCUGAGAGGGUGAUCGGCCACACUGGAACUGAGACACGGUCCAGACUCCUACGGGAGGCAGCAGUAGGGAAUCUUCCGCAAUGGGCGAAAGCCUGACGGAGCAACGCCGCGUGAGUGAUGAAGGUCUUCGGAUCGUAAAACUCUGUUAUUAGGGAAGAACAAAUGUGUAAGUAACUAUGCACGUCUUGACGGUACCUAAUCAGAAAGCCACGGCUAACUACGUGCCAGCAGCCGCGGUAAUACGUAGGUGGCAAGCGUUAUCCGGAAUUAUUGGGCGUAAAGCGCGCGUAGGCGGUUUUUUAAGUCUGAUGUGAAAGCCCACGGCUCAACCGUGGAGGGUCAUUGGAAACUGGAAAACUUGAGUGCAGAAGAGGAAAGUGGAAUUCCAUGUGUAGCGGUGAAAUGCGCAGAGAUAUGGAGGAACACCAGUGGCGAAGGCGACUUUCUGGUCUGUAACUGACGCUGAUGUGCGAAAGCGUGGGGAUCAAACAGGAUUAGAUA
RNAcentral lists this ribosomal RNA (752 nucleotides) under Staphylococcus epidermidis. RNAcentral's name for it is "bacterial SSU rRNA". It matches the Rfam family "Bacterial small subunit ribosomal RNA", at positions 49 to 784 of the family's 1533-position model. The record is from RNAcentral. Lineage: Bacteria; Bacillati; Bacillota; Bacilli; Caryophanales; Staphylococcaceae.